ACUGCUGCACGGUGGUGGCGGUAAAAUUACGAGCCUACGGGACAACAAACACAAAGCUAGGAACAACAAUGCGGUUAAGGUUAGUGGUGCAAUGUCGACAGAAACUCAUAAUAAUUUGAGAAAACGUCGCUGCCCAGAAAACAAACAAACAAACAAACAAAACAAAACAACUGACGCUACGCCAAAACUAGCUUUCCGUGUUACUCCAAUCAGUAGCACCUGUGUCAUUCAGCCACGGUGGGAUACUUUCCUCAUGAACCCGUUGAUUCCCCUCAGAGCUGAUUUUGAGAUCAUCAUACCCACAGGGAGUGUCAAGAGAAGAGAGAAAGGUGGAAAGGACACAAGCUGUGCAACGUCUGGUGAUCUGGGUAGAUGACAGGUUCCAUGGAGAAACUGACUGAAAGGAUAAUAAGGCUUGGAGAAGGCCGCCCCCUGCCGCCACUGAGGACAACUACACUAAUACAGACAAGAGCGCCUCAACAGUUACACACUCAAGAGUUGGGGUUUUGCCGUAUGCAACUAGCUACCAUCUCCAACGCUUGUGCAAAACAGAAAAGAAAACUGUUAAGUUAGGAGCCGGACACAAGGAUGAACGGUGUGCCGAGAGCCGGAGAGACCCGGGACGAUGGAAAGAGAAAGGAGGAUCAGAUCACCUCGCCCACAGAGCCUCUCACCUCGACACACUGAGCAGGGGGACUGAAGUAUGCCAAUAUGGCCAGCUUUCAAGCAAUCACCCCUUGAAGCUCUCCCUGUGGUGAAGCUGAGGGGUCCCCCGCAUUGCACUGUGGGAGAUGCCAACCCCAGCCCCAAACCACCCUUCAGAUAUAUUCUGGUAAACUAGUCUAUGCAGCAGAGUGGAUGAGGAAAACAAAAUAUUUAUUGGGGAAGAGGAAGCAGAAAAAAGGUCAAGGAAGAAGUCAUCUUUGAAAGGCGGAGGGAGGAAGUCACAUGAUGAAAAAGAUGGGGACAGGUCUUCGCUCAGGCACGGCUCGGUUUCUGACGGGGUCUCUUCCCAGUGCGCCCUGGGAAGUGCGGUCCUCAGCUCUCCAGACUCAUGAAGGCCACCACCUGCUCCAGCUUGAAGGCCAGCCUCUGUUUCCUGGCUGCAUCAUCCUGCUCCAGUGAACAUACAAUCUGCCAGCAGAACAGUGAGCCUGGAUGGAUGUUGGAAGUCACUGUAACUGCUGUGUAUCCAAGCUGACUACAGCUGCUGAACUUCGCUGAGGAGCAAGCUACAAACCUCUGAGAAACAACUUUCAAGUUUACAGCAGAGUUCGACUAGUUAGUAGCAGUAGCGAUUUCCCUUCCUGAGACACGGAUUUCCAUUACCCUGCUCAUCAGCUUACCUCUCCACCCAGCUCUUGUAGCUGGGGAUGUCCUUGGCAUAAAGCAGCUUGUUGGAUGGUGAGUCCUUCCCAAGGCGGUGUUCUGAGGUGGAGCAGGAGUCCAUGAAGGUCUGGGCCACCACAGA
This is a long non-coding RNA of Toxotes jaculatrix (banded archerfish), 1471 nucleotides long. RefSeq lists it as uncharacterized. The record is from RefSeq and is a predicted model, not a curated record. NCBI's taxonomy places the organism in Eukaryota, Metazoa, Chordata, Actinopteri, Toxotidae. The transcript has 8 exons.